This 301-nucleotide ribosomal RNA is filed under the name uncultured bacterium. RNAcentral describes it as "partial 16S ribosomal RNA". It matches the Rfam family "Bacterial small subunit ribosomal RNA", at positions 509 to 807 of the family's 1533-position model. The record is from RNAcentral.
CAGCAGCCGCGGUAAUGCGAAGGGGGCUAGCGUUGCUCGGAAUGACUGGGCGUAAAGGGCGCGUAGGCGGUUUUGACAGUCAGAUGUGAAAUUCCUGGGCUUAACCUGGGGGCUGCAUUUGAGACGUCAAGACUAGAGUGUGAGAGAGGGUUGUGGAAUUCCCAGUGUAGAGGUGAAAUGCGUAGAUAUCGGAGGGAACACCUGUGGCGAAAGCGGCUCACUGGACAAUAACUGACGCUGAUGCACGAAAGCGUGGGGAGCAAACAGGAUUAGAUACCCCAGUAGUCCCUGUCUCUUAUAC